Armigeres subalbatus is the source of this 289-nucleotide long non-coding RNA. RefSeq lists it as uncharacterized. NCBI's taxonomy places the organism in Eukaryota, Metazoa, Arthropoda, Insecta, Diptera, Culicidae. The transcript is spliced from 3 exons. The record is from RefSeq and is a predicted model, not a curated record.
UGCAGAUUCACAUCAUUCACCAAGUGUAUAGACAUCAGCAUGGUAGAAAAUAUGCAGCGGGAAGGUCGUUUUACGGACUCGAAAGGUCGGUCGUUUUACGGAGUUUCCAAUCAUCAUAUUCUUAGAAGAAAGGGCGCGUUCUGCCAACUUGGUCGAGGCAGAUUUCAAGUGUGAACAAGCUACCACUGAUGUUCUAAAGUGCCUGAAUGACAUGUGUAGCUUGUGAGGAGCCCUUGAAGAUGUGAUGUUGGAUCAAUAUAUUGAUAUUAAUCGCAAUUUGUAAUGACAA